This 253-nucleotide ribosomal RNA is filed under the name uncultured bacterium. RNAcentral's name for it is "partial 16S ribosomal RNA". It matches the Rfam family "Bacterial small subunit ribosomal RNA", at positions 524 to 776 of the family's 1533-position model. The record is from RNAcentral.
UACGUAGGGUGCGAGCGUUAAUCGGAAUUACUGGGCGUAAAGCGUGCGCAGGCGGUUUUGUAAGCCAGAUGUGAAAUCCCCGGGCUCAACCUGGGAAUGGCAUUUGGGACUGCAAGGCUGGAGUGUGGCAGAGGGGACUAGAAUUCCUGGUGUAGCAGUGAAAUGCGUAGAUAUCAGGAGGAAUACCGAUGGCGAAGGCAGGUCCCUGGGUUAACACUGACGAUCAUGCACGAAAGCGUGGGGAGCAAACAGG